CGGUUAUCAUGGUACCGGUGCUGUAUGUACGAAAGGUACAGUACUGUGAUAACUGAA
RNAcentral lists this microRNA precursor (57 nucleotides) under Python bivittatus (Burmese python). Its description in RNAcentral is "Pbv-Mir-101-P2-v2_pre stem-loop". It matches the Rfam family "mir-101 microRNA precursor family", at positions 11 to 67 of the family's 75-position model. From Rfam's summary of the family: The hairpin precursors (represented here) are predicted based on base pairing and cross-species conservation -- their extents are not known. In this case the mature sequence is excised from the 3' arm of the hairpin. The record is from RNAcentral. Lineage: Eukaryota; Metazoa; Chordata; Lepidosauria; Squamata; Pythonidae.